RNAcentral lists this ribosomal RNA (398 nucleotides) under uncultured bacterium. RNAcentral describes it as "partial 16S ribosomal RNA". It matches the Rfam family "Bacterial small subunit ribosomal RNA", at positions 359 to 774 of the family's 1533-position model. The record is from RNAcentral.
GAAUAUUUGACAAUGGGCGAAAGCCUGAUCCAGCAAUGCCGCGUGAGUGAUGAAGGCCCUAGGGUUGUAAAGCUCUUUUACCAGGGAUGAUAAUGACAGUACCUGGAGAAUAAGCUCCGGCUAACUCCGUGCCAGCAGCCGCGGUAAUACGGAGGGAGCUAGCGUUGUUCGGAAUUACUGGGCGUAAAGCGCGCGUAGGCGGCCUGUCAAGUCAGGGGUGAAAGCCCGGGGCUCAACCCCGGAAUUGCCUUUGAAACUGGCAGGCUAGAAUCUUGGAGAGGUCAGUGGAAUUCCGAGUGUAGAGGUGAAAUUCGUAGAUAUUCGGAAGAACACCAGUGGCGAAGGCGACUGACUGGACAAGUAUUGACGCUGAGGUGCGAAAGCGUGGGGAGCAAACA